CGGGACGGGGUGGAGUAACGCGUGGAUAACCUGCCUCACACUGGGGGGUAACAGUUAGAAAUGGCUGCUAAUACCGCAUAAGCGCACAGACCGCAUGGUACGGUGUGAAAAACCCAGGUGGUGUGAGAUGGAUCCGCGUCUGAUUAGCCAGUUGGCGGGGUAACGGCCCACCAAAGCGACGAUCAGUAGCCGACCUGAGAGGGUGACCGGCCACAUUGGGACUGAGACACGGCCCAA
Molecule: ribosomal RNA, 237 nt
Filed under: uncultured bacterium
Lineage: Bacteria
Description: partial 16S ribosomal RNA
Rfam family: Bacterial small subunit ribosomal RNA
Source: RNAcentral